AGUGAACGCUGGCGGUAGGCCUAACACAUGCAAGUCGAACGGCAGCACAGUAAGAGCUUGCUCUUACGGGUGGCGAGUGGCGGACGGGUGAGGAAUACAUCGGAAUCUACUUUUUCGUGGGGGAUAACGUAGGGAAACUUACGCUAAUACCGCAUACGACCUACGGGUGAAAGCAGGGGAUCUUCGGACCUUGCGCGAUUGAAUGAGCCGAUGUCGGAUUAGCUAGUUGGCGGGGUAAAGGCCCACCAAGGCGACGAACCGUAGCUGGUCUGAGAGGAUGGGCAGCCACACUGGAACUGAGACACGGUCCAGACUCCUACGGGAGGCAGCAGUGGGGAAUAUUGGACAAUGGGCGCAAGCCUGAUCCAGCCAUACCGUGUGGGUGAAGAAGGCCUUCGGGUUGUAAAGCCCUUUUGUUGGGAAAGAAAAGCAGCAGGUUAAUACCCCGCUGUUCUGACGGUACCCAAAGAAUAAGCACCGGCUAACUUCGUG
RNAcentral lists this ribosomal RNA (492 nucleotides) under uncultured bacterium. RNAcentral describes it as "partial 16S ribosomal RNA". It matches the Rfam family "Bacterial small subunit ribosomal RNA", at positions 29 to 507 of the family's 1533-position model. The record is from RNAcentral.